This 482-nucleotide ribosomal RNA is filed under the name Phoma sp. E9. Its description in RNAcentral is "eukaryotic LSU rRNA". It matches the Rfam family "Eukaryotic large subunit ribosomal RNA", at positions 55 to 541 of the family's 3401-position model. Lineage: Eukaryota; Fungi; Ascomycota; Dothideomycetes; Pleosporales; Didymellaceae. The record is from RNAcentral.
GGAAAAGAAACCAACAGGGAUUGCCCUAGUAACGGCGAGUGAAGCGGCAACAGCUCAAAUUUGAAAUCUGGCUCUUUCAGAGUCCGAGUUGUAAUUUGCAGAGGGCGCUUUGGCGUUGGCAGCGGUCCAAGUUCUUUGGAACAGGACGUCACAGAGGGUGAGAAUCCCGUACGUGGUCGCUAGCCUUCGCCGUGUAAAGCCCCUUCGACGAGUCGAGUUGUUUGGGAAUGCAGCUCUAAAUGGGAGGUAAAUUUCUUCUAAAGCUAAAUACUGGCCAGAGACCGAUAGCGCACAAGUAGAGUGAUCGAAAGAUGAAAAGCACUUUGGAAAGAGAGUCAAAUAGCACGUGAAAUUGUUGAAAGGGAAGCGCUUGCAGCCAGACUUGCCUGUAGUUGCUUAUCCGGACUUUUGUCCGGUGCACUCUUCUGCGGGCAGGCCAGCAUCAGUUUGGGCGGUUGGAUAAAGGUCUCUGUCAUGUACCU